AGUCGAGCGAAGCUUCAGUAGUUUACUACAGAAAAUGACUGAGCGGCGAACGGGUGAGUAACGCGUGAGCAAUCUACCUUAGUUACAGGGAUAGCCCGAGGAAACUCGGAUUAAUACCUGAUAUUCUUUAUAUUUCGCAUGAAAUUAAAAGGAAAGGUCAGCCGAACUAAGAUGAGCUCGCGUUCUAUCAGCUAGUUGGUGAGGUAAAAGCUUACCAAGGCUACGACGGAUAGCUGGUCUGAGAGGACGAUCAGCCACACUGGGACUGAGACACGGCCCAGACUCCUACGGGAGGCUGCAGCAGGGAAUAUUGCGCAAUGAGCGAAAGCUUGACGCAGCGACACCGCGUGUGGGAUGACGGAUCUAGGUUUGUAAACCACUUUCAGGAGGGAAGAAAAUGACGGUACCUCCACAAGAAGCCCCGGCCAACUACGUGCCAGCAGCCGCGGUAAUACGUAGGGGGCGAGCGUUGUCCGGAUUUAUUGGGCGUAAAGAGCUCGUAGGCGGUUCAACAAGUCGGUCGUGAAAGUUCAGGGCUCAACCCUGAAAUGUCGAUCGAUACUGUUGUGACUAGGAU
This 577-nucleotide ribosomal RNA is filed under the name uncultured bacterium. RNAcentral describes it as "bacterial SSU rRNA". It matches the Rfam family "Bacterial small subunit ribosomal RNA", at positions 60 to 647 of the family's 1533-position model. The record is from RNAcentral.